RNAcentral lists this ribosomal RNA (200 nucleotides) under uncultured prokaryote. RNAcentral describes it as "partial 16S ribosomal RNA". It matches the Rfam family "Bacterial small subunit ribosomal RNA", at positions 1183 to 1382 of the family's 1533-position model. The record is from RNAcentral.
CGUCAAAUCAUCAUGCCUCUUACGUUCUGGGCUACACACGUGCUACAAUGGUGACCACAAAGAGUCGCAAUAUGGUAACAUGGAGCCAAUCUCAAAAAAGUCAUCUCAAUUCGGAUUGUGGGCUGAAACUCGCCCACAUGAAGUCGGAUUUGCUAGUAAUCCCGAAUCAGCAUGUCGGGGUGAAUGCGUUCCCGGGUCUU